This 235-nucleotide ribosomal RNA is filed under the name Parahaemophilus parainfluenzae. RNAcentral's name for it is "Haemophilus parainfluenzae partial 23S ribosomal RNA". It matches the Rfam family "Bacterial large subunit ribosomal RNA", at positions 2080 to 2314 of the family's 2925-position model. The record is from RNAcentral. Lineage: Bacteria; Pseudomonadati; Pseudomonadota; Gammaproteobacteria; Pasteurellales; Pasteurellaceae.
ACGGAAAGACCCCGUGAACCUUUACUAUAGCUUGACACUGAACAUUGAAUUUUGAUGUGUAGGAUAGGUGGGAGACUAAGAAGUAGUCACGCCAGUGAUUAUGGAGUCGACCUUGAAAUACCACCCUUUAACGUUUGAUGUUCUAACGAAGAUUGCGAAACGCGGUCUCGGACAGUGUCUGGUGGGUAGUUUGACUGGGGCGGUCUCCUCCCAAAGAGUAACGGAGGAGCACGAA